GAUGAAAGCUAGCGAUAGGCUUAACACAUGCAAGUCGAGGGGCAGCAUGGUCUUAGCUUGCUAAGACUGAUGGCGACCGGCGCACGGGUGCGUAACGCGUAUGCAACUUGCCUCACAGAGGGGGAUAACCCGUCGAAAGACGGACUAAUACCGCGUACACUUGGAGGGAGGCAUCUCCCAUCAAGGAAAGGAAAUUCGCUGUGAGAUAGGCAUGCGUCCCAUUAGCUAGUUGGUGAGGUAACGGCUCACCAAGGCAACGAUGGGUAGGGGAACUGAGAGGUUGAACCCCCACACUGGUACUGAGACACGGACCAGACUCCUACGGGAGGCAGCAGUGAGGAAUAUUGGUCAAUGGGCGAGAGCCUGAACCAGCCAAGUCGCGUGAAGGAUGACUGUCUUAUGGAUUGUAAACUUCUUUUGUAGGGGAAUAAAGAACGGUACGUGUACCGUAGUGAAUGUACCCUACGAAUAAGCAUCGGCUAACUCCGUGCCAGCCGCCGCAGUAA
This 506-nucleotide ribosomal RNA is filed under the name uncultured bacterium. RNAcentral describes it as "partial 16S ribosomal RNA". It matches the Rfam family "Bacterial small subunit ribosomal RNA", at positions 28 to 523 of the family's 1533-position model. The record is from RNAcentral.